GGUCGAAUGGUGUAGUGGUUUAUCACGUCCCGUUCACAGUUGGAGCAAUCUAGCGCCGGGGAGGUCCCGGGUUCAAUCCCCGGUUCGACCU
This is a non-coding RNA of Fusarium irregulare, 91 nucleotides long. Lineage: Eukaryota; Fungi; Ascomycota; Sordariomycetes; Hypocreales; Nectriaceae. The record is from the annotation of a GenBank genome assembly.